UGUAGACUUAUAUAGUUCGCUCUUUAUCCAAUGAACGUUUGUUCAAGUUUACUUUGGAGAUCAUGUUAUCUCAUUUACUCAAGGAAGUAAAAAAAAUUAAAGAUAAAUGGAAGUUAUAAAUAAAUAUGCUUAGACGAAAUUUUUCCCAAAUAGUUGAUUUUAGUUAAGAUUUAUUCCUCUACUUGUCAAUUGAAUAUUUUAUAAAACCUUCAACUUGGCAAGACGUUUCUAGAAUAAAAAUGGUUAAGAUGUAAAAGAAAAAACUGAAGAGUACUAAGACGAACUAUAGACGACGCAGUGGGAAUUCAAUAUAAGGUAUCAAAAAUUAUAAGAAGUUUGGAGACUGUUCAUCAUCAUGAUCAUCAAGACCAAAAUCUAGCUAGCUUUACCAAGACUAGAAGGAAAAGACUAUAUCAACAUGAAAAUAGUUGAUGACAAACAAUUGUCCAGCCACUCAAAAACUUGUCUACAAUUGCUGAAAAACAAACUUGAAAGUAAUAAGUAAAGCUAAUAUUAUUUCCAAA
Long non-coding RNA from Chelonus insularis, 524 nucleotides. RefSeq lists it as uncharacterized. The transcript is spliced from 3 exons. The record is from RefSeq and is a predicted model, not a curated record. Lineage: Eukaryota; Metazoa; Arthropoda; Insecta; Hymenoptera; Braconidae.